ACCUGGGUGGCUCAGUCGGUUAAGCAUCUGACUUCGGUUCAGGUCAUGAUCUCGCAGCUUGUGAGUUCGAGUCCCACUUCGGGUG
Molecule: transfer RNA, 85 nt
Filed under: Felis catus (domestic cat)
Lineage: Eukaryota; Metazoa; Chordata; Mammalia; Carnivora; Felidae
Rfam family: tRNA
About the family: Transfer RNA (tRNA) molecules are approximately 80 nucleotides in length. Their secondary structure includes four short double-helical elements and three loops (D, anti-codon, and T loops).
Source: Rfam by way of RNAcentral